AGGUGAGGGCAGAGCCGGCUCCCAGGGUUCCUCUGCGCACCCGGACCUACAUCAUCCACAUCGAGAAGCAGCCCCGCACCGUGCAGCUGCGGCAGCAAGUGUUUUUGCCAGAGGAUUUCCGGAUCUACACCGUUGGCCGAGGGGGACUCGCGAAGUCUGAACUGGCUCAUGUCAAGCGCGACUGCUUCUACGAAGGCAGCAUCGAGGGUUUCUCCAUUUCGCUCGUGGCACUUAGCGCCUGUGCCGGCCUGAG
RNAcentral lists this long non-coding RNA (253 nucleotides) under Columba livia (rock pigeon). Its description in RNAcentral is "partial uncharacterized LOC102091145". The record is from RNAcentral. Lineage: Eukaryota; Metazoa; Chordata; Aves; Columbiformes; Columbidae.